Molecule: ribosomal RNA, 465 nt
Filed under: uncultured bacterium
Lineage: Bacteria
Description: partial 16S ribosomal RNA
Rfam family: Bacterial small subunit ribosomal RNA
Source: RNAcentral
CCUACGGGGGGCAGCAGUGGGGAAUAUUGCGCAAUGGGCGAAAGCCUGACGCAGCGACGCCGCGUGAGGGAUGAAGGUCUUCGGAUCGUAAACCUCUGUCAGCAGGGAAGAACGGUCACUGUGCUAAUCAGCAGUGAAUUGACGGUACCUGCAAAGGAAGCACCGGCUAACUCCGUGCCAGCAGCCGCGGUAAUACGGAGGGUGCGAGCGUUAAUCGGAAUUACUGGGCGUAAAGCGCUCGUAGGCGGUAGGUCAAGUCAAGGGUGAAAUCCCCGCGCUCAACGUGGGAACUGCCUUUGAAACUGGCAAACUUGAGUGUGUGAGAGGAUAGUGGAAUUCCAGGUGUAGGAGUGAAAUCCGUAGAGAUCGGGAGGAACAUCAGUGGCGAAGGCGACCAUCUGGCACAUAACUGACGCUGAGGAGCGAAAGCGUGGGUAGCAAACAGGAUUAGAUACCCUGGUAGUC